This 497-nucleotide ribosomal RNA is filed under the name uncultured bacterium. RNAcentral's name for it is "partial 16S ribosomal RNA". It matches the Rfam family "Bacterial small subunit ribosomal RNA", at positions 28 to 507 of the family's 1533-position model. The record is from RNAcentral.
GAUGAACGCUGGCGGCGUGCCUAAUACAUGCAAGUCGAGCGAACGGACGAGAAGCUUGCUUCUCUGAUGUUAGCGGCGGACGGGUGAGUAACACGUGGAUAACCUACCUAUAAGACUGGGAUAACUUCGGGAAACCGGAGCUAAUACCGGAUAAUAUUUUGAACCGCAUGGUUCAAAAGUGAAAGACGGUCUUGCUGUCACUUAUAGAUGGAUCCGCGCUGCAUUAGCUAGUUGGUAAGGUAACGGCUUACCAAGGCAACGAUGCAUAGCCGACCUGAGAGGGUGAUCGGCCACCCUGGAACUGAGACACGGUCCAGACUCCUACGGGAGGCAGCAGUAGGGAAUCUUCCGCAAUGGGCGAAAGCCUGACGGAGCAACGCCGCGUGAGUGAUGACGGUCUUCGGAUCGUAAAACUCUGUUAUUAGGGAAGAACAUAUGUGUAAGUAACUGUGCACAUCUUGACGGUACCUAAUCAGAAAGCCACGGCUAACUACGUG